RNAcentral lists this long non-coding RNA (1578 nucleotides) under Coffea arabica (coffee). RNAcentral describes it as "long non-coding RNA (CARA_LNC000332)". Lineage: Eukaryota; Viridiplantae; Streptophyta; Magnoliopsida; Gentianales; Rubiaceae. The record is from RNAcentral.
CAAAUACAGGUUAGGCUUCCAUAUAGCAGCUAAAAUUGUAUCAACAAAUACCUAGGGAAUAAAUCAACAUCUAGCUAGCCAGUUAAAAUCGUGCUCUCUUGGUUGUAAAAAGAAUAAAAUUGAUCGCUUAUGGGAGGAAACAUCUUACUCUCGUCUUCAUCCAUCAUCCACAACGAGACAGGGCAAUAAUCCCGCACAGGAGAAGCCAUUGUUUGACUGGAGAAGUUGCAGCCUCCUUCGCCGUAACCGUCAUACACAGGUUGAAUAGCAUCACUGUCAGAAAACUCAAUAUCUUUCCAUAUUUCGUCCAUGGAAUACACCUUCUGCAACCUUUCUUCCUCUGCUUGACCAGUCUUGUUUCCCUUGGCAGUGAGCAUUUCAAGACCUCCAGUGUCAUAAAAGCUUCGCUCCUUUGUCUCAGUGAUUGGCCCAGAUUCCAUACUUGGGCUGUUACCGUUGGAUAUUGAGGAGGAACAGUUGGAGAAUGAUGGUGAGGAUGAUGAUGAUGAUGAUGAGGGAGAUAUGGCAGCCUUUUUCCUCUCUUGAGCCUUCUUCCUCAUAUGGGUUCUCCAGUAAUUCUUGAUCUCGUUAUCAGUCCUCCCAGGUAAUUUACGGGCAAUCCUUGACCAUCUGCGAAUGAUUUAUCCAUGUGUUACAUUGAAAUAACUGGGAUGACAACCCAAUAACAAAAAAUAGAAUCCAAAUAGAAGUAAGAUUAUGUCGUUAUGUUGUCAAAUAACAUUAAAUUAACCAAUAAUCGCCAACCUAUUUCCCCACUUGGAGUGAAGCUCAAGGACAAGGCGCUCUUCAUGAGGAGUCAUCUUGCCUCGUUUCAGACCAGGGUGCAGGUAAUUAACCCAACGUAACCUGCAACUUUUACCUGUUCUUUUCAAACCUACAACAAAGUACGUGGUUAAACUUUGCUCCUUGCAAUUACCAUGCCAUGCCCAAAAUAAGCAUACCUAUUUUAUUUGUCUCCCUCCACCCAAACCUGAAACCUUAGAGAUGAAAUCCCAUCGGCGAUCACCGUACACGUUCACACAUAAAACCAGUUGGACAUCUUCUUGUUCUGUCCAAGGGCCCUUUCUGAUUUCCUCUUGCACCAUUUCCAGAGUUCCGUUUCCUUUUCUGCCUUCACUUCUUUUGAUUAACUCCUUGAGUUGCUUGCCUGCUCACUGGUACAAGGAACUUGUGUGCACGCUAGUGAUAUUUAUACUGGCCACUUUUCCUUGUAGGCAAGCUACGUGAUUUAUUUUUAAUUCUGUGAUUCCAUCCUCACCGUCCGUGCUGUGGCUUGCGUAUGCUGAUUAGGUGAUCGCGUUGAUGGGAACGCAUUGCAUAUGAUGAAAGCCAUUAUCAACAAUUUCUAGAUAAGAAGUUGAUAUGCUGAUGUGACGUUCAUAACUUGCAGUCCACAUUUCUCAGUAGGAUUGCUCGGUUUCUGUACAACUUCCUGCAAAAUCUAUAUGUGCACUAUAAAUUCACCAAAAGUUGAACCAAAGAAUUGCACUUUUUCUUUCCUUUCUUGUUUUCUAAAGUGAAAUUUACAUAAACUUCGAGAUUGUCUUUGUUCUUUUG